Molecule: ribosomal RNA, 253 nt
Filed under: uncultured bacterium
Lineage: Bacteria
Description: partial 16S ribosomal RNA
Rfam family: Bacterial small subunit ribosomal RNA
Source: RNAcentral
UACGGAGGGUGCAAGCGUUAUCCGGAUUUACUGGGUUUAAAGGGUGCGUAGGUGGGUUGGCAAGUCAGUGGUGAAAUACUUUCGCUUAACGAAGGAACUGCCAUUGAUACUAUCGGUCUUGAAUACAGUGGAGGUAGGCGGAAUGCGUCAUGUAGCGGUGAAAUGCUUAGAUAUGACGCAGAACACCAAUUGCGAAGGCAGCUUGCUACACUGUUAUUGACACUGAGGCACGAAAGCGUGGGGAUCAAACAGG